GAUGAACGCUAGCGGCAGGCCUAAUACAUGCAAGUCGAGGGAGAAGUUGUCUUCGGAUAACGGGAACCGGCGAACGGGUGCGUAACACGUAUGCAAUCUGCCCCUGACUGGAGCAUAGCCCGGGGAAACUCGGAUUAAUACUCCAUAACAUUAUGAAAUGGCAUCAUUUUAUAAUCAAAGUUCCGACGGUCAGGGAUGAGCAUGCGGCCCAUUAGCUUGUUGGUGAGGUAAUGGCUCACCAAGGCUACGAUGGGUAGGGGGUCUGAGAGGAUGAUCCCCCACACUGGUACUGAGACACGGACCAGACUCCUACGGGAGGCAGCAGUAGGGAAUAUUGGGCAAUGGACGAAAGUCUGACCCAGCCAUGCCGCGUGCAGGAUGACUGCCCUAUGGGUUGUAAACUGCUUUUCAUGGGAAGAAACACUCAUACGUGUAUGAACUUGACGGUACCAUAGGAAUAAGGAUCGGCUAACUCCGUGCCAGCAGCCG
RNAcentral lists this ribosomal RNA (489 nucleotides) under uncultured bacterium. RNAcentral's name for it is "bacterial SSU rRNA". It matches the Rfam family "Bacterial small subunit ribosomal RNA", at positions 28 to 517 of the family's 1533-position model. The record is from RNAcentral.